AGAUGCAGAGACGGCUGUGCAACCAUCAGGCUUCGUCACACACGCAUGUAUGAUAUCGGCCCAUUAAGAGUAUCAUCCCCCAGUGGAGCUUUGAAGGAUGAAAGGAGGACGGGGGAUAUUAGCAGAUAUGAAGAGGUGGAGGAUCAGAGUGGACAGCUUCUAAAACUCAUUCACAUCAGCGACAAAAGGGCUGAUUCAGUGUUCAGAUAUAGUUCAAAGUAAAAUGUGGAGUAUUUGUGUUUUGUUUGAUUGUGAAGCCUAUUUGUAGCUAGCUUAUAAAGUAUUAUUAUUAUUAUUUUUUUAUUUUUUAAGGUGCAAAAUGUAGCUUUGCAGAAGAUGUUUUAAUCAGAAGGGAAAGAUCUUCAUUGACUUUUUUUUUUUUUUUUUUUAGGCCUUAA
Molecule: long non-coding RNA, 398 nt
Organism: Acanthopagrus latus (yellowfin seabream)
Lineage: Eukaryota; Metazoa; Chordata; Actinopteri; Spariformes; Sparidae
Exons: 2
Source: RefSeq, a predicted model, not a curated record